This 1872-nucleotide long non-coding RNA is filed under the name Mus musculus (house mouse). RNAcentral's name for it is "long non-coding RNA chr5:14027893-14029765". Lineage: Eukaryota; Metazoa; Chordata; Mammalia; Rodentia; Muridae. The record is from RNAcentral.
UUUUUUUUUUUUUUUUUUUUUUUGUGGUGGAUAACUGAAUAAAAAUGUAGAAAAAAAGGAAGGCAAAUGGAUAGGCUGUUGGUUUUGACAUGCUGCUGUUCUGUUGAGCCUUCCAUUGACCUUUAUACCGCAGGCAGACUUGGCUUUUGAUAGCUCCGUAUCAGUAUGUUUUCCAAAUUGCUUCAUUUGAUUUUGUACCAGAGAGCUUAUAAUUUGGUCAGUGUACCAAAAUUCCGUGGUACAGUCAAUCUCAUUUAAAUAUAUUUUCUUUAAUCAAGCUCAUCUUCAAGAUGUCUCUCUUAAUCAGGGAAAUCAGUGUAACUGAUUUUAUGAGCCAUGUCAUAUGUUGUGGAGAGGACUUGCAUGUAUUUGUGUGUACUAGACUGAGAACUCUCCCAGGAUUUCUCUCUGGCAUGUCUUCUACACUUAUUGGGACUGGCUAGGCAGACAGUUUUAUGGUGAUAGCUUUAUAUGAAGACAGUGUAGUGAUAUCUUCGAAUAAAAUGUUCUUACUUGUGAAUUUUAGUUAGGACAGUCAGCUAUGAGAUCACACCAGAGAGGCAACGGGGAGCAGCACAUGCUUGCUGUACCGCAGGUUUCUCAGUGACGCGGAAGGCAAGGAAUGUCAGAGCAAGGACAUGUAGUUCAGUCAGCACAAAAUGAAGCACUCUCCAUGCUCUGGAAUUCAGCCGAUGGUCCAAGAGUCUUCAAAUAUUAAGAAUCAUGCAGCGCAGGUUAAUCUUCUGAAGUAUUGCAUGGUGACAGGAAUUUUGGGUUUUCAGUUGCAGGUGGAGUUAAGUGAUUGAUAUUACCAAUGGUUGCUCAGUCUUUCAAAGUAAGAUAUACAGGUGUGUAGGACACAUCACCUCUGCGCUGCUGCCUGACCCUAUGGGGUGACACGGUCAGCUCCCUAGAGGGCCCAUGUUGUGUGCAUCCAUCAUUCUUCUCAUGGCAGUGGUCUAUGCCAUGUGGGAGAAGGGCAGCCAGUUUUCUUUUACUCUCUACUUCUAAGAUCACAGAAACAACAACAAAAAUCUUUUCUCUCUCUUUUUUUUUUUCUGAGAAGGAGGAGGUUUAGCUGUCAUAUACAAAGCUUGAGUUAUUUUCUAGAAAACUGUAUUCACAAACAUGUUGAGAGACCACCUGGUCUUUUCCUUUUUUUUUUUUCCCCUUUGCUUUCUGUUGUCCUCUACUUCUGGCAAUGGUCUGCUCUUACAUAGACCUUUGCAGAAGAAGGCUUCGAAGAGGCUUCUAUUUUAACAGGUAGAGAGCACCUCUUGCUAGUUUCCAAGCAUUUUUCACCUGUGAUGGGAUGGCCCUCAGUCCUCAGUUUUUCUUACCAUCUCAGUCCAUCUUAUUAUUUAGAAAGUGUGUCAAUUUGGGGCAAAUAGAGGACAUGAAAGGACAAGGCAACUACUAUUCUGGGAAUACAUGUAUCUCUUGAUGAGUUUUCUAAGAACAAAUAAGGUUAUUUAACAAGUGAAAACAUAAAAAAAAAUUAGGUGGUAAGAUGCUAUCUCCCCCUGAAAGAAUUUUUCAGUCGAGAUUUGAGUUGAGGUUGACUAUAUAAGGCAAAAGAUUUAAAGUCCGAGGGUAGUCAUACAUCCUGUGCAUCAUAGUCUUUUAUUCUAGCUAACGAGCCUACUGUUGGGGAGAUUAAUGGAGAAUGAACUUUCUGUUCAAAGAGUUUUCUUAAAAACUGUUUGUGAUUCUCCAGAAAGAGCAACUGGAAAGAAUGAGGAGGAGCCCUGAUGAACUGAGUUGCUCCAUGUUGAUAUCUGCUCUUUCCUUAUCUGUCACCAUCCUGCAUUAAUGAGGUUACUGGGAAGGCAAAAAUAAACUUCUCGAGAAUGGAGUUGAAAGAAGGAACAU